AACGAACGCUGGCGGCGUGGAUAAGACAUGCAAGUCGAGCGCUGAUUAGCGGGUAGCAAUACUCGUUAGUCGGAGCGGCGAAAGGGUGCGUAACACGUGGGUAAUCUGCCGUGAAGUCCGGAAUAACUCGCUGAAAGGCGAGCUAAUGCGGGAUGUGACAAUUGGGAGGCAUCUUCUGGUUGUUAAAGUUGGGGAUCGUAAGACCUGACGCUUCAUGAUGAACCCGCGGCCUAUCAGCUAGUUGGUGAGGUAACGGCUCACCAAGGCUAAGACGGGUAGCUGGUCUGAGAGGACGACCAGCCACACUGGAACUGAGACACGGUCCAGACACCUACGGGAGGCUG
This 344-nucleotide ribosomal RNA is filed under the name uncultured Verrucomicrobiota bacterium. RNAcentral describes it as "bacterial SSU rRNA". It matches the Rfam family "Bacterial small subunit ribosomal RNA", at positions 29 to 351 of the family's 1533-position model. The record is from RNAcentral. Lineage: Bacteria; Pseudomonadati; Verrucomicrobiota.